RNAcentral lists this ribosomal RNA (16 nucleotides) under Gymnopus vitellinipes. RNAcentral describes it as "partial 18S ribosomal RNA". Lineage: Eukaryota; Fungi; Basidiomycota; Agaricomycetes; Agaricales; Omphalotaceae. The record is from RNAcentral.
UCGGAAAGGAUCAUUA